AUUGAACGCUGGCGGCAGGCCUAACACAUGCAAGUCGAGCGGAUGAAGGGAGCUUGCUCCUGGAUUCAGCGGCGGACGGGUGAGUAAUGCCUAGGAAUCUGCCUGGUAGUGGGGGAUAACGUCCGGAAACGGGCGCUAAUACCGCAUACGUCCUGAGGGAGAAAGUGGGGGAUCUUCGGACCUCACGCUAUCAGAUGAGCCUAGGUCGGAUUAGCUAGUUGGUGGGGUAAAGGCCUACCAAGGCGACGAUCCGUAACUGGUCUGAGAGGAUGAUCAGUCACACUGGAACUGAGACACGGUCCAGACUCCUACGGGAGGCAGCAGUGGGGAAUAUUGGACAAUGGGCGAAAGCCUGAUCCAGCCAUGCCGCGUGUGUGAAGAAGGUCUUCGGAUUGUAAAGCACUUUUAGUUGGGAGGAAGGGCAGUAAGUUAAUACCUUGCUGUUUUGACGUUACCGACAGAAUAAGCACCGGCUAACUUCGUG
Molecule: ribosomal RNA, 484 nt
Filed under: uncultured bacterium
Lineage: Bacteria
Description: partial 16S ribosomal RNA
Rfam family: Bacterial small subunit ribosomal RNA
Source: RNAcentral